CGGGUGAUUGUAUUUACAGGAAGUGAGCUGGAGGUCUCGUAUUGCCAGUCUGCAGAAGUCUGACCUACUGGGCCUGACGCAGCCCGCUGGCACCCCACGGCCUCAGACAUCCGACAAGAGAGAUGUUGAGGCUGGUACAGGGGAGAGUGAGACGGAACGAUGGGCCAGGGAGCGCAGGGAAAGGAGACAGGCUCGGGCCAGAAGGAAGGCACAGAGGACUGGAGAGAGUGAUGACAAUGAUCCCAGUGGAGAGGAAGAGUUCUCAGGCAGUGGGCUGGAUCCACAGACGGACCAACACUUACGUUCCAGGUCAGACCUAUCGUGUAAUGACUGUGGUCCAGGAGGAGGCUCUGAGACCAAGGAUUUUAAGAAGUUGUUUGAAGAGGUGUCCAGAGAAAACAGUCAGCUCCAGUUGCAGCUGCAGGACACUCAACGGAUUGUCAAUCAGACCAGGUUGGACCUGGAGAAGGCCACACAGAGACAAGAGCGCUUCAGUGACUGCUCAGCCCUGCUUGAGCUGGAAAGAAAGGACCGGAGGAUGCUGGAGCGGCGAAUGGCAGAGCUGGAGGAGGAGCUGAAGGUUCUGGUUGACCUGAGAGCAGACAACCAGCGUCUUAAGGAUGAAAAUGGAGCACUGAUCCGUGUCAUCAGCAAACUCUCCAAAUAGACGAAGAGAGAGAGAGAGAGACAUGAAGAGCAGGGAUCUCCCCGCCCCCCAUCACUCCUUCCUUCCACACAUUCCUCCCAGUGCCAAAGAGCGAGAGAGGGGGAGAGAAGCAACAGAAUGUCCUACGUACACAAGCACCACGGCUUGACUUGGAUUGUGAUGCCUCACCAUAGACCCGAACAGCUGGAGGGGUUUUUGUGUGCCUUAACACCGCUUGUCACAGGACGACCCGUGGCAUGAAGGUCUGUGGCUAUGGUCUGAGGCUCCCACAGCAGCAACAUGAGACAUGACAACAGCCAAACUCCCACGGCUGGUCAACACAGAGAACACGACAUCCACAUCUGUGCGUCUGGGGAACACUAACAUGCACACACAUUCCUAUGCGUGCAUCACAUACUUCCUCGAUGCACAUUCCAUGAGCACAGGAGGCCACUCGGUCUUUAUAGCUCCCACUUAGUAUUUAAUUUUUUGAACACCUCACACACUCACGAGUUUACCACUCAUAAUGUUAGUCCCAUUCUAAUGUGUUGUCAAGCAGUAAAGGUUUUGGCGUAGUUCUCUUCAAAAAGCUAUUUACCAGGUCUGUCUUUACAUUUUUUGACGAUUGGGGAAAGUCCAUGAAGCGCUGUUGGGUAGUUUUGAUUCCACAUGCAAGUGUUUGAACCCACCUACCUCUCCACCUAUGCACUUCCCCACAUACAUUUUUAUUUUUGUGACCACAGACACACUCCAUGCUCUUAAAAAUGACCGCAGAACCAGGUCAGUCGACCACAGCACUUUACUCUCUGCAAAGCAAUAUGAGAUCUGCGAGGCUUUGCCCGUCCUCCAGACAGACGAACUGAGUUCAGAGCAGCACCUUCUCACCACUGCUUUUCUUUGAGAAGCAGAGGAAGAAGUUACCCACAGCUGAAGGUCAAAGGUCAUUGCACAAUUAUAGAAUUUGCUGUUCUGUCAAAGCCUAUUAUGCUAUGAAUGGUUUUAAUUAUUACCAUUGAUAAAGAUAUUAUUUUCAUAGUUUUUCAUUGUCAGUUCCUCUCUUUCAAGGGAGAAUGGUCAUGUAUAUUAUAUGUGUAUAAAUAUUAGUCUUGAAUAAUACCCUUUUUGAAAUAAAACUCCAUGUAGCCUUUCUUCACAUGUUGGUUUUCUAAUAUAUUAAAUGGAUGUCUGCACCAUAAUAAAAAGAAAGUGUGUUUGUAGCAACUGCCUGGUUAUUAUAAACACAGUUGUCAAGAACUCCAUCACCCCAUCACGAACAAGUUAAGAUAAAUGCUUCUGUGAUGAGGAUGUGCAGUUCUUGCUUAUCUACCUGAACCUCUCUGAUUUGUGGUCACCCUUUAUUGCUGUUUCCCCACCUUAACUAGUAUGGUCGUCAUGCAGUUUUUCUGUUUUGUGAGAGCCAGAUGUCCCAUAUCAUUGCAGAGAGACUAAACAGCUGCAACACUACAACGCUUACAAGCUGAGGAAACAGGACUGCACAGAUGUAUUUACCAUUUGUUUGGACUGUUAACUUAAUCCACUGCUGUUCCCUAAUGGACGAUGCAUCAUGAGAAGCUUGACUGACGUGAUUGGAGUUAGUUUCAUUACAUUUGAUUAACAAGUGCCUUGUAGAUGUGUGAGUGAAGUCUGAGAAUCAUUGGUGUCUUUUGAGCUUCCAUCUAUUUUCACUUGAGUGUAUUUAAGAUGAGACAUCCAUCUGUUUGUCUCAUCUGAGUGCAAAGAGAUGGACCACUGUCCUGUAGGGUAGAAGAAGAAGAAGUACUGACAACAAGCUGAGCUCCUAAUAAGGAAGGGCAGGCUGGCCGAGGCGCUCUCUCUGUAAAUAUCCCUCAGGUCUGAGAAAGACAGAGGAAGGGAGCUGGGGAGGAAGAGGGAAGCGGAUGGAUUGCAACCUUAUAUGGACAAAGCUCUGCUUUUCCCAGGGUUUGUGGCUCUGACCCCCGGCAUGAUGCCAGAUGCAACACAAACAGCUCCUCGGCGCCACCAUGAGGUACAGCUGGUGUCAUACACUACAGCUGAGCAGCUGAUGGAGGAAGUUUUUACAUUUCUGACAGUUACAUCUCCUGACCAACUUCCAGCACAUAAAAAAAAAAAAGUCUUGCUUUUAUAAAUGAAUGGUGCUGACAUAAAUAAGUGUGAAUUCUUUAUGGCAUAUUAUUUUAUUCAUUUAAUCAAACUUAAAAUUAAGUAUUAACUGAAUGUUUUGUUUUUAUCACCACAGUUUCUUGUUGUUUUCUUUGCUUUACUGCAAAUGGAGCUUUUGUUAAAAGAUUAAUUAAAGGUUUAAAGA
Long non-coding RNA from Sphaeramia orbicularis (orbiculate cardinalfish), 2954 nucleotides. NCBI's taxonomy places the organism in Eukaryota, Metazoa, Chordata, Actinopteri, Kurtiformes, Apogonidae. The record is from Ensembl.